RNAcentral lists this unclassified non-coding RNA (240 nucleotides) under soil metagenome. Its description in RNAcentral is "partial contains 5.8S ribosomal RNA, internal transcribed spacer 2, and large subunit ribosomal RNA". The record is from RNAcentral.
AACCAUAGAAACCUGCGGAGUACCUGCGGAGGGAUCAUUAACCUUUCAAAUCAGGGUGCGGCGCGGCCCCCGAGGAGCGGAAACAAUCCUUGGGAGGUAUGCGGGGGCUUCGAGCCCCCCAUUUACGCACGCACGACUGCCAUCCUUACUUUACGAGCACCUUCUGUUCUCCCUCGGCGGGGCAACCUGCCGUUGGAACCGAAUAAACUCUUUUUGCAUCUAGCAUUACCUGUUCCGAAA